UUGGGGGUCUCUUCCCCUCUAGUAGUUCCUCACAGUUUUGUGCAAAGUCGGGCCAACUUGGUUGGCUCUGCCUUGUGCUGUAGAUCUGGUUGUUGGCAUAGAGACCCUCCUUUUAGGAGACUUGUGCCACUACUAAGAUCUAGGCUGCUUGAAAAGAGACGUAUGGACCCUUCUUUCAGGAGACCUAUGUCUCGAGUCAAAGCAAGCAAGGCAAGCCUUUGGGGCUCUAGUACUAACUAUCCCCAAAGGUGUUUAUUCUUCUCGUGUAAACCAUGAUGUACGAAAAAGUUAGUUGUUAACUUAAAAACAACUCUUGGCAAUGGAUCUCUUGGUUCUCGCAUCGAUGAAGAGCGUAGCAAAGUGCGAUAAUUAUUGCGACUUGCAUUCAUAGCGAAUCAUCGAGUUCUCGAACGCAUCUUGCGCCUAGUAGUCAAUCUACUAGGCACAGUUGUUUCAGUAUCUGCAACUACCAAUCAGUUCAACUUGGUUCUUUGAACCUAAGCGAGCUGGAAAUGGGCUUGUGUUGAUGGCAUUCAGUUGCUGUCAUGGCCUUAAAUACAUUUAGUCCUAGGCAAUUGGCUUUAGUCAUUUGCCGGAUGUAGACUCUAGAGUGCCUGAGGAGCAACGACUUGGUUAGUGAGUUCAUAAUUCCAAGUCAAUCAGUCUCUUCUUGA
This 674-nucleotide ribosomal RNA is filed under the name Lichtheimia sp. BS. RNAcentral describes it as "eukaryotic LSU rRNA". The stretch from base 309 to 462 matches the Rfam family "5.8S ribosomal RNA". The record is from RNAcentral. Lineage: Eukaryota; Fungi; Mucoromycota; Mucoromycetes; Mucorales; Lichtheimiaceae.